GAUGAAGAACGCAGUGAAAUGCGAUAAGUAAUGUGAAUUGCAGAAUUCAGUGAAUCAUCGAAUCUUUGAACGCACAUUGCGCCCGCCAGUAUUCUGGCGGGCAUGCCUGUUCGAGCGUCAUUUCAACCAUCAAGCCCCCGGCUUGUGUUGGGGACCUGCGGCUGCCGCAGGCCCUGAAAAGCAGUGGCGGGCUCGCUGUCACACCGAGCGUAGUAGCAUACAUCUCGCUCUGGGCGUGCUGCGGGUUCCGGCCGUUAAACCACCUUCAUAACCCAAGGUUGACCUCGGAUCAGGUAGGAAGACCCGCUGAACUUAAGCAUGUCAAUAAGCGGAGGA
Molecule: unclassified non-coding RNA, 336 nt
Filed under: soil metagenome
Description: partial contains 5.8S ribosomal RNA, internal transcribed spacer 2, and large subunit ribosomal RNA
Rfam family: 5.8S ribosomal RNA (bases 1-120)
Source: RNAcentral